UGAGUGCGAGCUGCUACGGCAGCGAAGUUGGUGAUGUCAUGCUUCCAAGAAAAGCCCUAUACCCGUUAAGGCAUCAUGGCCUGUACCCGAAACCGACACAGGUGGGGUGGUAGAGAAUACCGAGGGGCGCGAGGUAACUCUCUCUAAGGAACUCGGCAAAAUGGCCCCGUAACUUCGGGAGAAGGGGUGCCACCGCAAGGUGGUCGCAGUGAAGAGGCCCAGGCGACUGUUUACCAAAAACACAGGUCUCCGCUAAGUCGCAAGACGAUGUAUGGGGGCUGACGCCUGCCCAGUGCCGGAAGGUUAAGGAAGCUGGUCAGCGCAAGCGAAGCUAGCGACUGAAGCCCCGGUGAACGGCGGCCGUAACAAUAGCGGUCCUAAGGUAGCGAAAUUCCUUGUCGGGUAAGUUCCGACCCGCACGAAAGGCGUAACGAUCUGGGCGCUGUCUCGGAGAGAGGCUCGGCGAAAUAGAAUUGUCUGUGAAGAUGCGGACUACGUGCACCCGGACAGAAAGACCCUAUGAAGCUUUACUGUAGCUUGGUAUUGUGCCCGGGCUCGCAAUGCGCAGGAUAGGUGGGAGGCUUUGAUCAUCGGCUUGCGGGUCGAUGUGAGCCAACGGUGAGAUACCACUCUUUGCGAGCUAGGGUUCUAACGGCCACCCGUCAUCCGGGGGCCGGACAGUACCUGGUGGGCAGUUUGACUGGGGCGGUCGCCUCCUAAAAGGUAACGGAGGCGCGCAAAGGUUUGCUCAGGCUGGUUGGAAAUCAGCCGACGAGUGUAAAAGCAGAAGCAAGCUUGACUGUGAGACCAACAAGUCGAACAGGGAGGAAACUCGGCUUUAGUGAUCCGACGGUUCUGAGUGGAAGGGCCGUCGCUCAACGGAUAAAAGUUACUCUAAGGAUAACAGGCUGAUCUCCCCCAAGAGUUCACAUCGACGGGGAGGUUUGGCACCUCGAUGUCGGCUCAUCGCAACCUGGGGCUGAAGUCGGUCCCAAGGGUUGGGCUGUUCGCCCAUUAAAGCGGUACGCGAGCUGGGUUCAGAACGUCGUGAGACAGUUCGGUCCAUAUCCGGUGCACGCGCAGGAAUAUUGAGAGGAUUUCUCCCUAGUACGAGAGGACCGGGAGGAACGCACCUCUGGUGUACCAGUUAUCGUGCCAACGGUAAACGCUGGGUAGCCAUGUGCGGAGUGGAUAACCGCUGAAAGCAUCUAAGUGGGAAGCCCACCUCAAGAUGAGUAUCCCCAUGGCGUAAGCCAGUAAGGUCACGGGAAGAACACCCGUUGAUAGGCUCUAUGUGGAAGCGCAGUAAUGCGUGAAGCAGAGGAGUACUAAUAGACCGAGGGCUUGACC
RNAcentral lists this ribosomal RNA (1350 nucleotides) under metagenome. Its description in RNAcentral is "bacterial LSU rRNA". It matches the Rfam family "Bacterial large subunit ribosomal RNA", at positions 1564 to 2925 of the family's 2925-position model. The record is from RNAcentral.